AAAAAUUCGCCAUUGAUUGGCGAAGCAAUGUGUCGCUUGUUUUAAAGGAAGAACUGUCUCGACUCUAGAUCACCGCUAGUAGAGUCUUUGCCUUUGGUUGGAGAAGAUGAAAAAGCCGAAUCGCCGAUCGAAGCGAACAAGCACUGCCGAUUCCUCGUCAUCACCAGCCACUGGUGAUGAUAAGCCACAAGAGCAGCAGCAGCUUAGUGAGAAGAGAGUUGAUGAUUUGGAGAAAGAAAACGAAGCUCUUAAGAGGGUGAUCGAGGAACUGAAGCACAAGCUACCUAAUGUUUCACCCACUUCGGUUGAUGACCUUCGAAAGACGAAGGAAGAUGAUGAUUCUCAAAAGUUGCAUGUCCUGGAGAAACAGGUUAUGGAAAUGAAGAAGAGACUGGGCGGACGUUCCCAGCUUUCAGCACAAAAGCGAAACUCAUCACCAAAACAGAAAUAUGGUGAGGCAUGGGUCUUAACUCAGGAUGAAAUUCAGAGAUUAAAGGCUCAAAAGGUCCAUCUUCUUUGCAAGAUCAAGCUAGAGUCUGUGCAGUUCAGGCUGUCAAAGGCUUCGUUGGAGAAAGAAGUUCUUCAGCUUAAGAAAGAGCAAAGGAGGAAUAAUUAUGAAAUGCGUAAGCUGCUGGCUCUAAAUGAGAAACAGAAGCUGGUAUUGCAGCGAAAGACAGAAGAAGCUGCUAUGGCUACUAAACGGCUAAAAGAGCUAAUAGAAUCACGAAAGGCUUCCUCUCACAAAACUUCUGGUUCUAAAAGCGGCAGCGGUUCUCGAAUUCAGGCAAUAGAGCUGGAGCUCAAAAUUGCAGCAAGGGUGGAGGAAAUACGCUCUGAAUAUGACCGUCAAAUGGAAGAGAUGGCUGAUGAGGUUAGAAAGUUCGAGGAAGAAGCAGAAACACUAAGGCAAGAAAAUUUUAGGUACCUGUUACAGGAAAAAGAAGUUGACAGCAAAGUGAGGGAUUCAGAGCUGAGAGACCUGAAGGAAGAAGUAGUCAGGCUAAGUAAUUUGAUUAAUCAACUGGGAAUGCCAAAGGCACAAGUUCAUGCAAAGAAGCAAGACGUGGAUCUCGUUAGAUCUUCUGUUUCUGUUGGAAGCAGUAUUGAGUUUAUGGACACGCCUGAAUCUGAAUGUUCUGGAGGAAGUAAUGCUAUGUCGGGGAAAUUUACACCAAGGGUAUGCUGUUCUUGCAGUAAAAAAUCCCUGUGCAAGACAUCAAAAUGCGAAUGUCGGGCUGCAGCUAGCGGCUGUGGGACAGGAUGUGGUUGUGCGGCCUCUAAGUGCAGUAACAGAGGAGUUCUCUCUAUCAAGGUGGAUGACUCGCUGCAACAAAAGGUGGCUAGUGACUUGGUGCAUGUUUCAGACACCUCAGAAACUGAGAAAGCCAUUGUCACUUCUCAACCUGCUGAGGUUAACAAUGGUUGUGCACGGAUAAGGAAGCCUUUGUCUGAAAUUGGAAAUACUCUUGUCAUUUCCAGUCCUAUAAAACCUGACCAGAAAAUGAGAGGGAACAUAACAGUUACCCUGGUUGAUAUUGUAGAUCCGUCUUUUUCAGUGCCUGAAAUUGCUGAAAGUCCAAAAAAAAAACAUACAAAGCUUAUCAGGCAAAUAUUCCUACAAGGUUAACCAAGGGCCAAGCGAUCAGCAGUCCCAAAAACAGAUACUUAAACAGUGAAGGCGGUGCUUAAUAAAUUUGUUGUAAAACACCUGGUGUGCCUGCUCUAAGAAGUUCAGUUCUACAGUUUAGAACAUUAAAUGAGAAUAGUGGCUUUUACGUUGAAUGUUGAGAUGUAUAGAGUUCAUCAUGGACUGAAAAUUGAGAUAAUAGGGAUACAACAGGAGGGAUUGUUUAACCUCUUUAUAAGAUGGCAAGCGGAUGCCAAUAAAAAAAAUGGUGUUAACAGUUGAACUUCCAUGCUUUUACGAGUGACUUAUUUUGAACCAUUGCUUUGUGAAAUUGGGUUGUUGGUUACGUGGUGUUUGUAGACAUUUUAGACAUGCCUGCUGUGCAUAAUUAGGUAAAGUUGAUUUUGGCUUGUCAAUAACCAUUCUUGUCUGCCCUGUUCUCUUUCUGUAGAGCAGUUUAAUGGGAAAUCUCUUUCGUUUCUCCUUUAGUUUACAGGCUGCUUGUAUUGCUUCCUUUCAAGCGUUAAGAAACAGAGAAGUACUUUGUAUAACUAGAAUUAGCUUGUGUAACAACCCAGAAAAUAAAUU
Molecule: unclassified non-coding RNA, 2215 nt
Filed under: Hevea brasiliensis (rubber tree)
Lineage: Eukaryota; Viridiplantae; Streptophyta; Magnoliopsida; Malpighiales; Euphorbiaceae
Source: RNAcentral